Molecule: long non-coding RNA, 2260 nt
Organism: Cyprinus carpio (common carp)
Lineage: Eukaryota; Metazoa; Chordata; Actinopteri; Cypriniformes; Cyprinidae
Source: Ensembl
GUAAGCAGCGUUUUUCUUUCGUUCUCGUUUUUGUUUUCUCCCUCUCCCGGAAUGGAUAUCCCGGCAGUCCAGCUCCUAUGCCUGGAGCAGUCGGACCGUUCGCUGGAGGACCAUACUAGGUUUUUUUUCGAUCUGGCGUGCCUUACCCACUUCCCAGACCACUCGCUCUGUGCUUUUUAUUAUCAUGGCCUGAGCGAGUGGUCUAAGGCACGCCUACCAGUGAACGGUCCCAGAGAGGAUUUCGCCGCUUUCGUGGACUGGGUGCUUGAGAAAAAUGGAUCUCCAUUCACCGUCGGCCCUGCUGAAGAGGAUAUAUCCAGCCCCACUCCCGAACCAGAGACCAGCCAGCCAUCAUCCCGUGGCACGGAGAUACUGCCUGAGCCCACCGCAGACGGAGAGCCUGAGCCCACCACGACUGAGCCGAUCGUCUCCAUGGAGCCUGAGCCUCAAUCAGCGUCUGACCAAGUGCAUGAGCCGGCAACAUCGUCCGUUCCCGAGGGAGUUUUGGUGGAGAUUGAGGUCUUGGAGGGAAGCUCCAUCCACCCUCCCACCCCUGAGGGUGAGCUGCAACUAGUCUCUGGAGUUUAUUAUGAGGAACUUAUGGACAUUUUUGAAAUUGAUUUAAUAGACUGGUUUGGGGAGGUAACUCCCAGUCCUUCUGUGUCUCUGCUGGUUCCGCCCAGCCCUGAAUCUCAUGUGUCUCCGCUGGUUCCGCCCAGCCCUGAAUCUCCUGUAUCUCCGCUGGUUCCGCCCAGCCCAAGUCCAUCUGUAUUCCCUCCCAGCCUCCCUCUCCCGCCGCCUCUCAAACCAGCCAGUUCCUCAACCCCAUCUCCCCUGGUGCCAGUCAGUCCUGCAGCUCACCCUCAGUCAGCGCCAUCUGGGCGCGAUGAUUCACCACUGGACUUCCAGUCUCCAGCUCCGCCUUGGCGUGAGGAUUCCCUGUCGCCACCUCCAGCCUCCGAGCCCUGGACUCCACCUCGGUCCUUUGACCCAUCGGCUCCGCCUUGGCACCUCGCUCCGUCGUCUCCACCAUGGUCCAUCAUCCUACCAGCUCUACCGGGCUCCCUCAUCCCUCCGGCUCCGCCUUGGUCAGUCAUCGACCAUCCGCUGCCUCGGGAAUCCACUUCUCUGGCUUCACCUCGUCACUCCUUCCCUCCAGCUCCAUCCUCAGUCGCUCUGGCUCUGCAGUGGUCUUCCGGAGCCCCGCCUCCACCUCGGUUGCCUGUGCCUUCAGCACCGCCUUGGACCUCCGGAUCCUUGGUGUCACCCUGGCUCUGCGUCUGCUCGGCUCCAUCCUGGGCUCCUCAUCCAUCGGUGCAGUCUCUGUCAGUUGGCCCCUUGGUGUUGUCUCCUCUUUCUCCAGCAUGGAUCCUCCCGCCGUCGACUCCACCAUGGGUCACCAUCCUGGCUGGCCUCUGGAGUUCCAUCUGGCUCCUCCUGCUCCGGGCUCCUCCCUGGCUCCUUCUCCCUGGUACUAUGGUCUAUGCUCCCUCUCCAUUGCCAGCCCCUUUCCUGCCCCACGCCCACCUCCUGAACCCCCACCCUCCCUCCUCUGGACUAUUUCUGUCGGUGCGGGGAUGCCCCUUUCCGGGAGGGGGCGAACUGUCACAAUUAUGGACUUCUGUUCGUACUAAGUUUCCUUAUUUGGUCAUGUUCCUUUGCUUGUUUAGUUAAUUAAUUAGCCCCACACCUGUUUCUGUUUCCCACUGAUUAUGUUCACUAUUUAAAGUCUGUGUUCUCCUUUUUUCCUUUGUCCGCUAUUGAUGUAUGAUACCCCGACUUGGUUUUGCGUUUGGAUGUGCCCUUUUUCCUCCCGUGUAUUAUUAUAAAGCCUUAUUUGUUAUUUCCUUCGUCAGGCAUUUACUUAACACACCUACACUUGUUACACACACACACACACACACACACAUAUAUAUAUAUAUGGAAUUAUUUUCUUAUCUUACUUUGAAUUUGCUAUAAGAAAUCAAAUACACUGCUGGACAAUAAUCAAUUUUUAAUCUUUUUUUUUUUUUUUCAAAUGGCAAUUUUAUGAUUGUUUUAUAAACUGCUAAAAUUAUUUACAUUUUCUGCACAUAAUUAGGUAGAAAAUAUACUGUAGGCUACUAUAUAGUUUCUAUACUGUGCUAAAUGAUGUCAAUUAGUACUGCAUCAUUCAUAAAUUGUAUUAAUUGUGUUUAUUCUCUUAACAUUUCACCAGUUCAUUCUGCUUUUUAUUCAGCUUAGCUUCAGCGAUAGAUGUCUUUGUCCAUAUUAGGCACUU